RNAcentral lists this ribosomal RNA (259 nucleotides) under Bacillus sp. (in: firmicutes). RNAcentral's name for it is "Bacillus sp. (in: Bacteria) partial 16S ribosomal RNA". It matches the Rfam family "Bacterial small subunit ribosomal RNA", at positions 810 to 1068 of the family's 1533-position model. The record is from RNAcentral. Lineage: Bacteria; Bacillati; Bacillota; Bacilli; Caryophanales; Bacillaceae.
UGAGUGCUAGUGUUAGGGGGUUUCCGCCCCUUAGUGCUGCAGCUAACGCAUUAAGCACUCCGCCUGGGGAGUACGGUCGCAAGACUGAAACUCAAAGGAAUUGACGGGGGCCCGCACAAGCGGUGGAGCAUGUGGUUUAAUUCGAAGCAACGCGAAGAACCUUACCAGGUCUUGACAUCCUCUGACAACCCUAGAGAUAGGGCUUUCCCUUCGGGGACAGAGUGACAGGUGGUGCAUGGUUGUCGUCAGCUCGUGCCGA